ACGCUUUCUCAGGGCAGGGUGAAAUUCCCGACCGGCGGUAACGGGGCUCAGGCCUCGAAGCCCGCGAGCGCCUCAGCGACGUUGAGGGUCAGCAGACUCGGUGCAAUUCCGGGGCCGACGGUAACAGUCCGGAUGGGAGAGAGAGCAU
RNAcentral lists this non-coding RNA (148 nucleotides) under Hyphomicrobiales bacterium. RNAcentral describes it as "Rhizobiales bacterium FMN sequence". It matches the Rfam family "FMN riboswitch aptamer (RFN element)". Rfam says of the family: The RFN element is a highly conserved domain that is found frequently in the 5'-untranslated regions of prokaryotic mRNAs that encode for flavin mononucleotide (FMN) biosynthesis and transport proteins. This element is a metabolite-dependent riboswitch that directly binds FMN in the absence of proteins. The record is from RNAcentral. Lineage: Bacteria; Pseudomonadati; Pseudomonadota; Alphaproteobacteria; Hyphomicrobiales.